UUCAACUUUUCCUUCUUCCUGCCAGUUCUGUCCUUUUCACAACAGCUUUUUUUCUUAACCAUUUCAGAGUCUUGAGAAAUGCCCAGCAUGAGUUGGUCAUUCCUGCUGGCUAACCUGUUAACAAGAUCUCCUGCGUUUUGGGGAAAAAACUUCAGCAGACAAUCUGGAAAUUACCUGAAGUUCUGUGGGUCUCUGACACGUGAUUGCAAUCAAGAAGACUAAAUUGGAAAAAGGUGACCUUGCCUUUACUAGCCUGCCUAGCCUGAACCUCCCCGUACAGAUUGCCACUCCGCAUCCCCUCUUC
Molecule: long non-coding RNA, 304 nt
Organism: Dromaius novaehollandiae (emu)
Lineage: Eukaryota; Metazoa; Chordata; Aves; Casuariiformes; Dromaiidae
Exons: 3
Source: RefSeq, a predicted model, not a curated record